Non-coding RNA from Durio zibethinus, 3109 nucleotides. NCBI's taxonomy places the organism in Eukaryota, Viridiplantae, Streptophyta, Magnoliopsida, Malvales, Malvaceae. The record is from RefSeq and is a predicted model, not a curated record.
AACAAAGACCCACAAAAAGAGCAUCCAAUGAAGACGUACACAUCACUACGGUACCAGUCAGUCUUUUAUUAAAGUGAAACCAAAUGAUAAUCAUAAACCUCAUCCUCCCUAAUUAUUCAAAAGAAAAUAAAAUGUUGGAAAAAGCAAAAAAAAAAAAAAAAAACCGACAACCGAUUUCAUUUUGAUAAAUCCGCAACUUUCGUCGGAUUUUCAACAGCGUCGUCUAGAUUUUUUUUUUUUUUAAAUAGUGCCGAGUUUUCUACAGAAUUUGACCGAGAUUUAACAUUUGACCAGAUUCGGGGGUUAAAAGAAGUAAAUCCGUUUGUUUCCCAAAAAAGCGUCGGUCGAGCUUCACCGGCGUUCUUUUUUAAAAAUAAAUACAUAAAAAGCGAAGCGAGCGACCCACACAGAGAGGUUUUUCGAAGAGAGAAAGAAUCGCUUGGUUUAUAAGCCAGAGACUUAUAUUUCUCGAAGAAGGAAGAAAGCGAGAGAGAGAAAAGCUUCUAUUGUUUUUUUCAAAGCUUUUCUUUCUUUGUUUGAAGAUAACAGAUAAAGAGCCAUGGCCAUGGCUGAGUCAAAUGGUUCUAUACCUCGCGAUGCAGAAAAGAUCUAUCUUGGUGGAAAGGAACAUCAUGUACGAACGUGGUGUGGUUCUGUAUCUGUUAUAGUAUGUGGUGACCAAGACAAGCCAGCACUAAUUACAUAUCCUGAUUUGGCUUUGAAUCAUAUGUCUUGUUUCCAAGGAUUGUUCUUUUGUCCUGAAGCAGCCUCCUUGCUGCUUCACAACUUCUGCAUUUACCAUAUUAGUCCUCCUGGGCAUGAGUUGGGAGCUGCUCCAAUUGGUGCAAGUGUUUCUGCACAUUGUGUUGAUGACUUAGCUGAUCAGAUCCUUGAGGUUCUCAACUUUUUUGGGCUUGGUGCAGUGAUGUGCAUGGGAGUAACAGCCGGUGCUUACAUUCUUACUCUAUUUGCUAUGAAAUACAGAGAACGUGUUCUUGGUUUGAUACUUAUAUCCCCUCUUUGCAGAGCACCCUCUUGGACUGAAUGGUUUUAUAACAAGGUGAUGUCAAAUUUGUUAUAUUUUUAUGGAGUGUGUGGACUGGUUAAGGAGUGUUUGCUUCAACGUUACUUUAGCAAGGAAGUUCGUGGUAAUGCUGAAGUUCCUGAGUCGGACAUAGUUCAAGCAUGCAGAAGAUUACUGGAUGAGAGGCAUGGAUCAAAUGUGAUGCGAUUUCUUCAAGCAAUUAAUAGGAGACCUGACCUCACCAGUGGGCUGAAGAGGCUUAGAUGUCGUACGUUAAUAUUUGUUGGGGAUAAUUCACCUUUUCAUUCCGAGGCCCUCCAAAUGACAUCCAAGUUGGAGAGAAGAUUUAGUGCCUUAGUUGAGGUCCAGUCUUGUGGAUCAAUGGUGACAGAAGAACAGCCACAUGCAAUGUUGAUACCUAUGGAAUACUUCUUCAUGGGAUAUGGGUUGUAUAGGCCUAGCCAGUUGAGUGACAGCCCUAGGAGCCCGUUAAAUCCGUUUUGCAUCUCACCGGAGCUCCUCUCUCCAGAAAGCAUGGGUUUGAAGCUAAAACCUAUAAAGACCCGAAUUUCGCUUGAAGUUUGAUAGGGGGUUGAGAAAGAUUGGAUUUAUUUUGUUUAUAAAUUUUUUUGGUUCUUUUUGGUCUUUUGAAAAAGAAAAGGUAUAUAAUAAGGGUAGAGAAGCAGUUGGGGAGGGCCUGUAGAUACAAGGAAGAUAUAGGGAGAGGGGUAACAUGAGAUCAUUCUUUUGCAGUCAGUCAUAAAGAAGUCGUUGAACUCUGAUCUCUAUUUCUCUUUCUCCUCUAUUUUAAUGGUUCUUAUGCAUUUAGGGGGGUUUGGUGGCACGUUGGGAUGGGAUAGGAUGAACCAAUUCAACGAGAGGAACGUGCCCGGUACCUUAUUAUGGAAGGUUUGGUAUUUAUGUUUAGUGUUGACGUUAAGUGGCCUCAGCCCGGGAGUCUCCAGCUUUUCGAAAAUACAAAAUCGUGCUGACAGGUUGGGUUGAUUGAUGACUGGUGGAGGAAUGCGGAAGCCGUAAGUUCAACUUUUGAUGUCCAAUUCAGAAAAAUAUGCAUGAUAGUAUCUGACAACAUCAAGAAAGGAAAUAUAAGAAAACUUUCAAGUUUUCCCUGAAAAAGAGAAAGAGUCGUGCAAACUCUGUUCUCCUCAAUCAUCUUCCAUGGAGGCGCUCGGAGUUCAUUCUCACUUCUUGAAGAAGGAUCAACAACUCCUCAACAAGAUCCUCAAGGUCAAUAUCUCCAUGAAUUCGUGCAAAACCCCAAAUUGCCUCCAACUUUGGCUCAAUUGGCAUAUUCUCAACAAACUCAUUCAAAAGCCCAGCUCUUCCAAAAACAUCAAUAACCCCUAAAUAAUGUUCAAUCCUCCGGCGGAGCAAUCCUUGUGUUCAGUCUUCAUCAAUUCAAAGUACAUUACUCCUUCCUCUACAGCCUCUACACUGGCACAAGCCGAUAAAAUAUUUGAUAGCACAAAAGUUAUCAACUAAUCAGCCAACUACUAUAUAGAUUCAGUGCUUCAGCUUGUUUGUAAAUGCUGGCUGCUCUGAAUCAAAAUAUCUAACCCAUCACUGCACCAUGGUUGAACAAAAGAAAUGGUAGCCAACUCAAAAACUAGACUACUAGAGGAGCAAAAUUAGAAUAGUCUUAAUACUCUGAUCGAAAUUUCCAAUUGAUUUGCUAUCCUGUGUAAAAAAUUUAAUUUAAAGAGUCUUGUUUUGUGCUGCGACACAGUGGGAUAAGAGGGUGAUUCUUGUAGGAUAGAAGUAAGUACUAAAAAGAUAUAGCAAUCAGCAACCGGUUACUAAAAUUACUAUUUCAUUGUUAACAUAUCUCAUUAAAUAAUCACAAUGGGAAGUCAAGGUCUCACUGUAUAAUGGAAGCUUAAUGUAAAAGAAAGAAACAUACUGUCUUUUAACAGCUUCAACAUCAUAGCAUGCUCAACAAAUCUGAAUCUGGAUGAUCAAAUGAUAUAAUCUGACCACUCAAAGAUAAAUGAAGUGUGAUGAUCCAUGGACUCUCCAGGGCAUUCCUCGUACCUUGACGGUUUCUCCUUCCCUCCUAUGAGCCUG